UAUUAUAAUUUAUUUGAAAAUAAAUAAAUCUGGGUAUUAUUAGUUAAGUUCUAUAAACUCAAAGAAUUUGGCGGUGUUUUAGUCUCUUCAGGGGAAUCUGUUUUGUAAUUGAUAAUACACGAUUUUUUGUACUUGAUUUUGCUAUCAGUUUGUAUACCGCCGUUAUAAGAAUAUUCUAAUAAGGAAUUUAAUUUUCUUUAAUGUUUAUUAAGUUUUUAUAUCAGGUCAAGGUGCAGCUUAUGAUUAAGUUAAAAUGGAUUACAAUAAAUGUAUUUAUUAUGAAUAAUUAUGGUUAAAUUUUUAAUUUGAAGGUGAAUUUGAUUGUAAAUUAAUUGAAAUUGGUUAUUUGAUUAGGGCUCUAAAUUGUGUACAUAUUGCCCGUCGCUCUCAUUUUAGGUGAG
RNAcentral lists this ribosomal RNA (401 nucleotides) under Pentacentrus cf. biroi ICCM-2015. RNAcentral describes it as "partial 12S ribosomal RNA". Lineage: Eukaryota; Metazoa; Arthropoda; Insecta; Orthoptera; Gryllidae. The record is from RNAcentral.